GACGAACGCUGGCGGCGUGCCUAAUACAUGCAAGUAGAACGCUGAAGGAGGAGCUUGCUUCUCUGGAUGAGUUGCGAACGGGUGAGUAACGCGUAGGUAACCUGCCUGGUAGCGGGGGAUAACUAUUGGAAACGAUAGCUAAUACCGCAUAAGAGUAGAUGUUGCAUGACAUUUGCUUAAAAGGUGCAAUUGCAUCACUACCAGAUGGACCUGCGUUGUAUUAGCUAGUUGGUGAGGUAACGGCUCACCAAGGCGACGAUACAUAGCCGACCUGAGAGGGUGAUCGGCCACACUGGGACUGAGACACGGCCCAGACUCCUACAGGAGGGAGCAGUAGGGAAUCUUCGGCAAUGGACGGAAGUCUGACCGAGCAACGCCGCGUGAGUGAAGAAGGUUUUCGGAUCGUAAAGCUCUGUUGUAAGAGAAGAACGAGUGUGAGGGUGGAAAGUUCACACUGUGACGGUAUCUUACCAGAAAGGGACGGCUAACUACGUG
This 495-nucleotide ribosomal RNA is filed under the name uncultured bacterium. RNAcentral describes it as "partial 16S ribosomal RNA". It matches the Rfam family "Bacterial small subunit ribosomal RNA", at positions 28 to 507 of the family's 1533-position model. The record is from RNAcentral.